This is a long non-coding RNA of Fukomys damarensis (Damara mole-rat), 432 nucleotides long. RefSeq lists it as uncharacterized. The record is from RefSeq and is a predicted model, not a curated record. The transcript has 3 exons. NCBI's taxonomy places the organism in Eukaryota, Metazoa, Chordata, Mammalia, Rodentia, Bathyergidae.
CGCCCGGCCCGCGUGCGAAUCUCCGCGCGUGCGUGCUUCGUUCCAGCCCGACGAAUGACGCCACCUAGAGCUCGCGGUGGGCAACGCGCAACUACUCCCGUGGUGCGCAUGCGAGCUGAGCGGGCCGAAACCUGGCGGGGAAGGAGAGCUCUGGGAAUCCAGCGACGGGACCCCUGACUUUGGUGAUAGAGCUAAGCUCAAGGUCCGUGUGUCCAGCCAGACCUGCGUGGAACCUUAGGACGCCGCAUCUGCAGCUCUCCUGACCCCAGAAUGUGAGCACGGCUCGUGGAAUGUAGAUUUUGUUUUGUUUCGUUUUUGAGACAGUGUCUCACUGUGGAGUUCAGGCUUAGACGACAAACCAGUCCCAGGAUCUUGUCGGGACCCCACUAGAGCUGACACAUCUGCCCCUCCUCUCCUGGCGGGGCCCCUCCG